This 484-nucleotide ribosomal RNA is filed under the name uncultured bacterium. RNAcentral describes it as "partial 16S ribosomal RNA". It matches the Rfam family "Bacterial small subunit ribosomal RNA", at positions 30 to 507 of the family's 1533-position model. The record is from RNAcentral.
AUUGAACGCUGGCGGAAUGCUUAACACAUGCAAGUCGAGCGGCAGCCCUGCCUUCGUGCUGUCGGCUAGCGGCGCACGGGUGAGUAAUGCAUCGGCACAUGCCCAGUCGUGGUGGAUAACACUUCGAAAUAAGUGCUAAUACCGCAUACGUCCUGAGGGGGAAAGCGGGGAAUCGCAAGACCUUGCGCGAUUGGAGUGGCUGAUGUCGGAUUAGCUAGUUGGUGGGGUAACGGCCUACCAAGGCGACGAUCCGUAGCUGGUCUGAGAGGAUGAUCAGCCACACUGGAACUGAGACACGGCCCAGACUACUACGGGAGGCAGCAGUGGGGAAUGUUGGACAAUGGGGGCAACCCUGAUCCAGCCAUGCCGCGUGAGUGAAGAAGGCCUUCGGGUUGUAAAGCUCUUUUGGUAGGAAAGAAAAGGUGGGCGCUAACAUCGUACGCUAAUGACGGUACCUUAAGAAGAAGCACCGGCUAACUACGUG